ACCCCCAGUAAUAGACAAAGAGACAUCUCAUUGGUGGUGUUGUUCUUGUAUCAGUCAGAGGUAGAACAGAUGACAGUCCUUUGUUCAUCCUAGCUUGAUGCCUGGGUUGGUGGCCAAAGCUGUUUCAUGCCUGGGGUGCAUAG
Small nucleolar RNA from Heterocephalus glaber (naked mole-rat), 143 nucleotides. NCBI's taxonomy places the organism in Eukaryota, Metazoa, Chordata, Mammalia, Rodentia, Bathyergidae. The record is from Ensembl.